RNAcentral lists this ribosomal RNA (497 nucleotides) under uncultured bacterium. RNAcentral's name for it is "partial 16S ribosomal RNA". It matches the Rfam family "Bacterial small subunit ribosomal RNA", at positions 28 to 507 of the family's 1533-position model. The record is from RNAcentral.
GAUGAACGCUGGCGGCGUGCCUAAUACAUGCAAGUCGAGCGAACAGACGAGGAGCUUGCUCCUCUGACGUUAGCGGCGGACGGGUGAGUAACACGUGGAUAACCUACCUAUAAGACUGGGAUAACUUCGGGAAACCGGAGCUAAUACCGGAUAAUAUAUUGAACCGCAUGGUUCAAUAGUGAAAGACGGUUUUGCUGUCACUUAUAGAUGGAUCCGCGCCGUAUUAGCUAGUUGGUAAGGUAACGGCUUACCAAGGCAACGAUGCGUAGACGACCUGAGAGGGUGAUCGGCCACACUGGAACUGAGACACGGUCCAGACUCCUACGGGAGGCAGCAGUAGGGAAUCUUCCGCAGUGGGCGAAAGCCUGACGGAGCAACGCCGCGUGAGUGAUGAAGGUCUUCGGAUCGUAAAACUCUGUUAUUAGGGAAAAACAAAUGUGUAAGUAACUAUGCACGUCUUGACGGUACCUAAUCAGAAAGCCACGGCUAACUACGUG